Molecule: ribosomal RNA, 470 nt
Filed under: uncultured bacterium
Lineage: Bacteria
Description: bacterial SSU rRNA
Rfam family: Bacterial small subunit ribosomal RNA
Source: RNAcentral
UAGGCUUUGAUCCUGGCUCAGGAUGAACGCUAGCGGCGUGCCUAAUGCAUGCAAGUCGAACGGGAUCCCUGGAUUCGUCUAGGGUGAGAGUGGCGAACGGGUGAGUAACACGUUGGUGACCUGCCUUAGAGAGGGGGAUAACUAUUGGAAACGAUGGCUAAUACCCCGGAUGUCAAGGUCUUUAGAAAACCUUGACUAAAGCUCCGGCGCUCUAAGAGGGGCCUGCGGCCCAUCAGCUAGUUGGUAGGGUAAUGGCCUACCAAGGCGAAGACGGGUAGGGGGCGUGAGAGCGUGACCCCCCACACUGGUACUGAGACACGGACCAGAUACCUGCGGGUAGCAGCAGCAAGGAAUAUUGCGCAAUCGACGAAAGUCGGACGCAGCAACGCCGCGUGGAGGAUGAAGGCCUUCGGGUUGUAAACUCCUUUUCUGGGGGAAGAGAAAGGACGGUACCCUCAGGAAUAAGUACU